This 253-nucleotide ribosomal RNA is filed under the name uncultured bacterium. RNAcentral's name for it is "partial 16S ribosomal RNA". It matches the Rfam family "Bacterial small subunit ribosomal RNA", at positions 524 to 776 of the family's 1533-position model. The record is from RNAcentral.
UACGUAGGGUGCGAGCGUUAAUCGGAAUUACUGGGCGUAAAGGGCUCGUAGGCGGCCAACUAAGUCCGACGUGAAAUCCCAAGGCUUAACCUUGGAACUGCGUCGGAUACUGGAUGGCUUGAAUUCGGGAGAGGGAUGCAGAAUUCCAGGUGUAGCGGUGAAAUGCGUAGAUAUCUGGAGGAAUACCGGUGGCGAAGGCGGCAUCCUGGACCGACAUUGACGCUGAUGAGCGAAAGCUAGGGGAGCAAACGGG